GCAGCCUUGGCGGAACUGGUAUACGCGCUAGUCUCAGAAGCUAGUACUUAAUAGUGUUCGAGUUCAAAUCUCGAAGGCUGCACCA
RNAcentral lists this transfer RNA (85 nucleotides) under Bacillota bacterium. Its description in RNAcentral is "tRNA-Leu". It matches the Rfam family "tRNA". From Rfam's summary of the family: Transfer RNA (tRNA) molecules are approximately 80 nucleotides in length. Their secondary structure includes four short double-helical elements and three loops (D, anti-codon, and T loops). The record is from RNAcentral. RNAcentral also lists the same sequence under 2 other names. Lineage: Bacteria; Bacillati; Bacillota.